Ornithodoros turicata is the source of this 1051-nucleotide long non-coding RNA. RefSeq lists it as uncharacterized. Lineage: Eukaryota; Metazoa; Arthropoda; Arachnida; Ixodida; Argasidae. The transcript has 3 exons. The record is from RefSeq and is a predicted model, not a curated record.
CAGACUUCGGAGACGCAGCUAUAUUUCAGGCUGUCAGGGCAAGUCUUCGUAGCCGCAUCGCCUGUGAAGAAGCCCUGUACGGCAUUCUGGAGUGCUCUCGCCGCUGGCUGACGUCUACUCAACUUUUCCGUCACGUUCAGGAGUAGGCCUCGAUCUGAGUUUGUCACACCUCACCUUAGAGAAUAUGUCUCCCCCAUGCGACACCGGUGUGAGUCCUACCCUAGUGAAUGCAUUUCUACGUGGUCUGUCAAGCGCCUGUACAAGUCGCUCUUGGAGCUACUUCCCAUGCCUCCGGCUGCUGUGGGUCUUGCUGUGCCCUGGAUUCGGUGGAGUGUCAUUCAACUGAUCUUCCAGCCCCCCAUCCUGCAUCGCGAUAGGAAAUAGUUCCUUCUGCUGGCAGUUGAGAUCGAUUACCAGGUGCAGAUUUCUCGCUACAUUGCAGCACAAGGUGGCCGCGUCCGUACUGUGGCAGAAGUGCUAAAUCUUGUUCGAGCAAGGAUUCACUGAGCCCUUCGUAGAGAGAGAGAGACCUGCGCUGGGAGCUGUGCACUUCGCAAGGCGGUGGCAGACGUCUUCGGUCCUCUUUGAAGAUGACAGAGUGCCUUCCUCGAGGAACUUUCUGCCAGCUUGGUCCUCUACAGGAAAAGACCUGGUCGUUCGUCACAGGAGAACCUCCCCAUCCGACGGCCCCUGAAGAUGGCGCAGCUCCCCAUGCGACGGCCCCUGAAGAUGGCACAAGAUGUACCACGGGACGUGAGAACUGAUGCCACACAACAUUGGCCCAUUUGGGGGGAAAAGAGAAACAGGUGUAAGGCAUGCACAUUUACACCUAGGCUACACGUACAUUUCAUGCUCAAAGUGCACCUUGCGCCUGUGUAUCAACAAAGAUCGAAAUUGUUUUAUAAGCUUCCACGGACUUUAGAUAGCUUUCCCAUUUCUAUUCCCCAGCUUUUCAUGUACUUUUGACACAGUUGUCUCACCGCACUGACUUAUGCAUUAUUCAUUUACUGCCCACCGUUGCAGAUGUGCAACGACCUGUAAUAAAAUAUCG